GGGAGGAGGAGCCGUGGGAGGCCGCGUCCCUCCGGGCAGGGCUGUCUGAGGCGGACUGACCCCCAACCGGCGGGAUUGGGGUUCCCGUGCCCCCCGCCUCCUCUCCGCCUACAGAGCUCCCUCAGCGUCACCCCAUCGGCCCUCCCGCCUCGGGGCCGGCGCCGCUCAGCCCCGCAGCCCAGGCCGCAGCGCCCAGAGCAGACGUGGACUUUGAGGACAUGGCCAUUGCCUUCUAUCACGAGUGGGGGAUCCUGGAUGAGGCUCAGAGACUUCUGUGAUGUGAUGCUGGAAGUGUUUGCACUUGUAGCAUCUGUAGCCAGUCCAUGGACUCUGCUGAUCACCCACUUUCUUGUCACCUGUGCUGUGGCUGCCGGUGCUGAGCUGUGUGGAGAGUCCUGAGCAAUGAACUCCUCGACCAUCCCUAACACCCAUUGUCCCACAGUGCAGAAAGUGUCUGGAGUCAUGAGUGUUACAGACAGCUUCCCCUCAGUGGUAUUGACAGUCACUCUGAGGGGGCACAGAGCUGGAGGGCAUCCUGGCCCCUUCUCUCCUGGCAGGUAGGCCGGCUGGCCUCCUGUUAUCGGGAGAGCGUGGUCUUUCUGAAGAGGUCACUUAGCGCGUCAUCCCGGCAACUGGGGCGUGUCCUACAGAGAAGAGAGGAAGAACUAAAACGCAGGCGUGAGGGCAGGAGUGUCCUCGGAGAGCCCUCCCUUUCCCUACCUC
This is a long non-coding RNA of Eptesicus fuscus (big brown bat), 723 nucleotides long. RefSeq lists it as uncharacterized. The transcript is spliced from 3 exons. The record is from RefSeq and is a predicted model, not a curated record. NCBI's taxonomy places the organism in Eukaryota, Metazoa, Chordata, Mammalia, Chiroptera, Vespertilionidae.